RNA transcript from Paramacrobiotus metropolitanus, 2009 nucleotides. It is a transcript of the gene named vesicle-associated membrane protein/synaptobrevin-binding protein-like, with no coding region annotated. The record is from RefSeq and is a predicted model, not a curated record. The transcript is spliced from 5 exons. NCBI's taxonomy places the organism in Eukaryota, Metazoa, Tardigrada, Eutardigrada, Parachela, Macrobiotidae.
UGCGUAAUACAGGAGAAGCUCACCAUGGGCAGUGUUUCAGAGACCAACCAUCUAGUGCAACGACAUUUAGCUGUCCCGAGCAACAAACUGCUAAUACGUCAAAUUUACCCUUGUUCCAUAACUUGACGCCUCGAAGCACUGUAUGUAGGGCUCGAAUGGCUCAAAAUAUGUUCGACAUUUCUGUCAUGAUUUCUGCCUUCUGAUGUGAAAGACUGCACAUCGCAAGGUGUACAUUUGCAGAUUCUUCUAGCCAAACGAAGCCAAGGAACAUGGUUCAUGGAGGCUCACUGUGAUGACAACUUUGCAUUAUGUUGGAAGUAGUUCCAAAAGAGCUGGUGUUUCCAGAACCCGCCCAUACCCAAGCAAUAGUGACGCUGACAGUAAAGAAUACCGGAGCAAAACGGACAGCCUAUCGAAUAAUGACGUCUGCGCCGCACCGGUUUUCCGUGCGUCCGGUAUUCGGAUUACUGAAAAGUCAUGGUAUCGCAUCGAUUCUCAUACAGUAUCGCCCGGCUGAUCAUUCCGCCAUAUGCCCAGAUUACAAAUUCCGAAUUAAGGCAGCUCCUGUGGAUAACGAUCAGUAUAGCGCGAAUGAUCCAAGUAAUUUUUGGAAUAAUAUCCCGCCUGAUCAAAUCCUGAUAACCACAAUCAGAUGCACUUUUCCCCAAUCGGUUCACCAUGCAUUUUCUGCCAAGAAAAUGCCGCUGGCCACCGUUGCCAUCCUGCCACUGGAAGAAAGUUCAACGGCCAAGUUAGAGAUUUGCGUAGGAGCAAGCACCUAUAAUAGUGCACAUUAGUGUUUAGCUGUAUCUGUACUUGUAGAUGUUAAGGGACAACAAUCUCAUUCAUAAUGCCCACACAAAAUAGGGUUGGGAGCUGCAUGAAAAUGCAGCUGAUUCUGCUGGAUAAUAAUGCAACCUGGGACUGGGAAUCCGGAAUUGGUACUGGGAAUAUUUGCACUAUCUUUCACUCGGAGCGUUCCGCUCGGUACUUCCACUGGCUAAUCUAAACUGGGUUCGUUUCGUUUAAUACUUGAUUUACGUCACGCUUCCUUGUUUUAAAAUUAUUUAUGCGAGUAUUUGGACGCUGUAGCGGCGGCGGCGGCCAGCGUAGCUGACCAUUCACAGCUUUUCAAAUGCUGGUUUCUUUCCAGUGCAGGCUUUUCAAAUACCUUCUUUUUCAUGAGUAUUUUUGUCAAAUGUUUGGGAAAUUGCUGCUACGCCCAGAGUUCCAGUAAGUAACCGCAGAAAAACUUUUCUUGUAUGUCGCACAAAACAUACAUGUGACGCAGCUGCCGCAAACAAAGGAGAGAAUCUGCGGUGGUUUGUUAACCCGAAAUUAACCAGUUAAGGUUUCUACUUACUAGUAUUAAAACCGCAUAGUAAAAAAUCUGCGGAUCUGGGAGUGAAAUCUUUUGAAGUUGCUUUCGUGUUCCCAUUCAAAAAAGAAAUCCAUUCCCAUAAAUGAAGUGAAUCCCAUUUCUAACACCAAUUCCCCAUCCCCAGUCGCAGCCAUCGGGCCGAGAUCAUGCUCCUGAUACCUUUCACCAAAAUUACAGACGCGCUCUGGAAGAUAUUGUCCUGCUGCGAGAAGAGAACGUUCGGUUGCGGGAAGAUCUGCAUCGAGUCAGAAGAUCGCUGGCACGCUUGCAUAUUGCUUCUGGAGAUCCUGUUUUCAAUGCAUUUCGUAACAUUCUUCCUGGUUCUGCUACUGCCGUUAUCUUUUUCCCUUAUACAUUGUGGCAGCAACUUGUAACGUGGUUUACAAGUUUGCGUUUAGGGGCGUUUACUGUCUUAGUAUUGUUUUUUUGUGCCGGCAUAUUAACCGGAAGUGUUCUUUACAAAUAAGAGGACAAUGUUUUAAAAUAAUGCUACACUACAGUUGCUGUACGAAGUCGGGGCCGACUGUAGCCGACGGCAAAGUACUGAACCACAUUGCGAACUUGGAAUUGGCAACCCUUAUGUUAACGCCCGAAUACAGCGCUUAAGCUUUAAAACUGCCGGCUGUGA